This 1496-nucleotide ribosomal RNA is filed under the name uncultured beta proteobacterium. Its description in RNAcentral is "16S ribosomal RNA". It matches the Rfam family "Bacterial small subunit ribosomal RNA". Lineage: Bacteria; Pseudomonadati; Pseudomonadota; Betaproteobacteria. The record is from RNAcentral.
UCUAUUGAGUUUGAUCCUGGCUCAGAUUGAACGCUGGCGGCAUGCCUUACACAUGCAAGUCGAACGGCAGCACGGGUGCUUGCACCUGGUGGCGAGUGGCGAACGGGUGAGUAAUACAUCGGAACAUGUCCUGUAGUGGGGGAUAGCCCGGCGAAAGCCGGAUUAAUACCGCAUACGAUCUACGGAUGAAAGCGGGGGACCUUCGGGCCUCGCGCUAUAGGGUUGGCCGAUGGCUGAUUAGCUAGUUGGUGGGGUAAAGGCCUACCAAGGCGACGAUCAGUAGCUGGUCUGAGAGGACGACCAGCCACACUGGGACUGAGACACGGCCCAGACUCCUACGGGAGGCAGCAGUGGGGAAUUUUGGACAAUGGGCGAAAGCCUGAUCCAGCAAUGCCGCGUGUGUGAAGAAGGCCUUCGGGUUGUAAAGCACUUUUGUCCGGAAAGAAAUCCUUGGCUCUAAUACAGUCGGGGGAUGACGGUACCGGAAGAAUAAGCACCGGCUAACUACGUGCCAGCAGCCGCGGUAAUACGUAGGGUGCGAGCGUUAAUCGGAAUUACUGGGCGUAAAGCGUGCGCAGGCGGUUUGCUAAGACCGAUGUGAAAUCCCCGGGCUCAACCUGGGAACUGCAUUGGUGACUGGCANGCUAGAGUAUGGCAGAGGGGGGUAGAAUUCCACGUGUAGCAGUGAAAUGCGUAGAGAUGUGGAGGAAUACCGAUGGCGAAGGCAGCCCCCUGGGCCAAUACUGACGCUCAUGCACGAAAGCGUGGGGAGCAAACAGGAUUAGAUAUCCUGGUAGUCCACGCCCUAAACGAUGUCAACUAGUUGUUGGGGAUUCAUUUCCUUAGUAACGUAGCUAACGCGUGAAGUUGACCGCCUGGGGAGUACGGUCGCAAGAUUAAAACUCAAAGGAGUUGACGGGGACCCGCACAAGCGGUGGAUGAUGUGGAUUAAUUCGAUGCAACGCGAAAAACCUUACCUACCCUUGACAUGGUCGGAAUCCCGCUGAGAGGUGGGAGUGCUCGAAAGAGAACCGGCGCACAGGUGCUGCAUGGCUGUCGUCAGCUCGUGUCGUGAGAUGUUGGGUUAAGUCCCGCAACGAGCGCAACCCUUGUCCUUAGUUGCUACGCAAGAGCACUCUAAGGAGACUGCCGGUGACAAACCGGAGGAAGGUGGGGAUGACGUCAAGUCCUCAUGGCCCUUAUGGGUAGGGCUUCACACGUCAUACAAUGGUCGGAACAGAGGGUUGCCAACCCGCGAGGGGGAGCUAAUCCCAGAAAACCGAUCGUAGUCCGGAUUGCACUCUGCAACUCGAGUGCAUGAAGCUGGAAUCGCUAGUAAUCGCGGAUCAGCAUGCCGCGGUGAAUACGUUCCCGGGUCUUGUACACACCGCCCGUCACACCAUGGGAGUGGGUUUUACCAGAAGUGGCUAGUCUAACCGCAAGGAGGACGGUCACCACGGUAGGAUUCAUGACUGGGGUGAAGUCGUAACAAGGUA